RNAcentral lists this ribosomal RNA (163 nucleotides) under Heracleum kingdonii. RNAcentral describes it as "5.8S ribosomal RNA". It matches the Rfam family "5.8S ribosomal RNA". From Rfam's summary of the family: 5.8S ribosomal RNA (5.8S rRNA) is a component of the large subunit of the eukaryotic ribosome. The record is from RNAcentral. Lineage: Eukaryota; Viridiplantae; Streptophyta; Magnoliopsida; Apiales; Apiaceae.
AACGACUCUCGACAACGGAUAUCUCGGCUCUCGCAUCGAUGAAGAACGUAGCGAAAUGCGAUACUUGGUGUGAAUUGCAGAAUCCCGUGAACCAUCGAGUCUUUGAACGCAAGUUGCGCCCGAAGCCAUUAGGCUGAGGGCACGUCUGCUUGGGUGUCACGCA